GCAAGGAAUAGUAGGCAAUGGGCGCAAGCCUGACCUCGCGACGCCGCGUGAGGGAUGAAGGCCUUCGGGUUGUAAACCUCUUUUUUCAGGGAUGAAUAAUGACAGUACCUGGAGAAUAAGUCACGGCUAACUACGUGCCAGCAGCCGCGGUAAAACGUAGGUGGCAAACGUUAUCCGGAUUUACUGGGCGUAAAGAGUGCGUAGGUGGUUAUUUAAGUCAGAUGUAAAAUCUCCUGGCUCAACUGGGAGGGACCAUCUGAUACUGGAUAGCUGGAGUACAGCAGAGGAAAGUGGAAUUCCCGGUGUAGUGGUGGAAUGCGUAGAUAUCGGGAGGAACACCAGUGGCGAAAGCGGCUUUCUGGGCUGUUACUGACACUGUUGCACAAAAGCGUGGGGAGCAAACAGGAUUAGAAACCCCAGUAGUCC
Molecule: ribosomal RNA, 426 nt
Filed under: uncultured bacterium
Lineage: Bacteria
Description: bacterial SSU rRNA
Rfam family: Bacterial small subunit ribosomal RNA
Source: RNAcentral